AUGGAGAAGGGCCCAAUGGCGGGCCGGCGGAGGCCGUAGCGGGAGGUGUCCCCGAACACGACGCUGCACAUGAGCAGCACGAUCCUGUCAAUCAGCCACAGCGGCAGGUACCUGUAUAGCGUCAUCGCCACGUUCCAGAUCUCCUUGGUCACAAGGUGGAGCUGCAUGCAAAACAGAUAA
Molecule: ribosomal RNA, 180 nt
Filed under: Triticum aestivum (bread wheat)
Lineage: Eukaryota; Viridiplantae; Streptophyta; Magnoliopsida; Poales; Poaceae
Description: partial small subunit ribosomal RNA
Source: RNAcentral